ACAAAUUCAAACAUUUCAGAAGCAGCUUGCAGUUGCGACUGAGAAGUUGAAGGUUAAAAGUUGAAGCAUAUGCUACUAGCAUUCUUUAUGUCUUUACAAACAUGUGCACUGUUCCAUUAUUUGUCAUCUCAAAAUUGAUACAGUUAUUCAAUUAUGUUCUGGGCUCCCACUUGCCAUCUCAUGCUUUUGCAAACACAAGGUAUUGCCGUAUUGAUUCUCUCAACUCUUUUGACUGUGGAAGGCCUUCAAAGACUUCAUGCCUUCUUUGUAACCUGCCAAUUAUUCUAAUCGUUUAGGUUGCAGCAAAGCCCUUGUGACCUCAACAGUAUUUACAGUCAUUUGAAGAGUUCAUGUCCAAGGCGACUGGAAAUGCUGUCAACUGGGUGCAAAUAGUUGGGAUGAAAGUAAUAACUUGUUUUUAAGGAACCAAGGCCACAAAAAUAAACAUUAAGAGGGAGAUCACCACGAUUAGGGCCAGUUGCCCAGAAGCACGCGCCCAGCAUUGAAUCUGGGGUUCCUGAUUGCAGGAGUCCUAAUGGUGCAUACAGUACAGGUUUUAAACCACUUUCUCAUCAGGUUGCAGUUGUUGUAGCUCAUGAAUUAGCUCAUCAAUGGUUUGGAAAUUUUGUCACAAUGGAAUGGUGGACAUAUGUGGCUUAAUGAGGGCUUUGCGACUUGGGUGUCUUACUUAGCUGCAGAUCAGUUCUUUCCUGAAUGGAAUGUUUGGACUCAGUUUCUAGAGGAAUCUACAAUAGGUUUCAAGUUGGAUGCUCUUGCAGGUUCACAUCCAAUUGAGACAGCAAGCUUGCCAAACAUUUAGGAGGAGAGUUCUAGCUCUGGUCAAAAGCAUGGAUUCAGUUGUCAAAAGAGUCCCUUGACAGUACUUAUAACUAAAACUAUGUAUAAAAGGAAUUAGAGAGGAAAAUGUGAAGGAGAAACUCUCCCAUUUUUGCCAUGUUCCGGCAGCAAAUAUUAUCACUUUGUAUGAUGUUUCCAAUAUCUGGCGCAUUCCUUUGUUGCUACAUGUAUGGUGAAUGGGGUGACCAUGUCACGCUACAAGCAGCUGCUGACAAGAGACUCAGGAUCAGUUCUCCAAGUACUCCUGCACUUGGAACCAUCAACAAAGAGUCAAAGAGUAAAUAUGUUAUUCUACGAUGG
Long non-coding RNA from Zea mays, 1158 nucleotides. RefSeq lists it as uncharacterized. The transcript is spliced from 9 exons. Lineage: Eukaryota; Viridiplantae; Streptophyta; Magnoliopsida; Poales; Poaceae. The record is from RefSeq and is a predicted model, not a curated record.